GAUUGAACGCUGGCGGCAGGCCUAACACAUGCAAGUCGAGCGGAUGAAGGGAGCUUGCUCCUGGAUUCAGCGGCGGACGGGUGAGUAAUGCCUAGGAAUCUGCCUGGUAGUGGGGGAUAACGUCCGGAAACGGGCGCUAAUACCGCAUACGUCCUGAGGGAGAAAGUGGGGGAUCUUCGGACCCCACGCUAUCAGAUGAGCCUAGGUCGGAUUAGCUAGUUGGUGGGGUAAAGGCCUACCAAGGCGACGAUCCGUAACUGGUCUGAGAGGAUGAUCAGUCACACUGGAACUGAGACACGGUCCAGACUCCUACGGGAGGCAGCAGUGGGGAAUAUUGGACAAAGGGCGAAAGCCUGAUCCAGCCAUGCCGCGUGUGUGAAGAAGGUCUUCGGAUUGUAAAGCACUUUAAGUUGGGAGGAAGGGCAGUAAGUUAAUACCUUGCUGUUUUGACGUUACCAACAGAAUAAGCACCGGCUAACUUCGUG
Molecule: ribosomal RNA, 485 nt
Filed under: uncultured bacterium
Lineage: Bacteria
Description: partial 16S ribosomal RNA
Rfam family: Bacterial small subunit ribosomal RNA
Source: RNAcentral